UUGCGGUUAAAAAGCUCGUAGUUGGAUUUCUGUUGAGGAUGACCGGUCCGCUCUUUGAGCGCGUAUCUGGUUCAGCCUUGGCAUCCUCUUGGGGAACGCUACUGUGCUUGAUUGCAUGGGGCGGUAUUCAAGACUUUUACUUUGAGGAAAUUAGAGCGUUCACUGCAAGCGUUAGCAAUUGAAUACAUUAGCAUGGAAUAAUAAUAUAGGACCUUGGUACUAUUUUGUUGGUUUCUAGAACUAAGGUAAUGACUAAUAGGGACAAUUGGGGGCAUUCGUAUUAACGCGUCAGAGGUGGAAUUCUUAGAUUGCGUUACGACGAACUACUGCGAAAGCAUUUGCCAAGGAUGUUUUCAUUGAUCAAGAACGAAAGUAUGGGGAUCGAAGACGCUUAGAUACCGUCGUAGUCUAUACCAUAAACUAUGCCAACUAGAGAUUGGAGGUCGUUCUCUUUAUGACUCCUUCAGCACCUUAUGAGAAAUCAAAGUCUUUGGGUUCCGGGGGGAGUAUGGUCGCAAGGCUGAAACUUAAAGGAAUUGACGGAAGGGCACCACCAGGAGUGGAGCCUGCGGCUUAAUUUGACUCAACACGGGAAAACUUACCAGGUCCAGACAUAGUAAGGAUCGACAGAUUGAUAGCUCUUUCUUGAUUCUAUGGGUGGUGGUGCAUGGCCGU
Molecule: ribosomal RNA, 675 nt
Filed under: uncultured marine eukaryote
Lineage: Eukaryota
Description: SSU rRNA
Rfam family: Eukaryotic small subunit ribosomal RNA
Source: RNAcentral